Molecule: long non-coding RNA, 517 nt
Filed under: Cairina moschata (Muscovy duck)
Lineage: Eukaryota; Metazoa; Chordata; Aves; Anseriformes; Anatidae
Description: domestica (muscovy Duck (domestic type)) lncRNA (ENSCMMG00000003951.1)
Source: RNAcentral
AAUUUAGCCCUGUUAGCUCACUGUUGUGAUCAACGUGAAGAGCUAAUUUUGCCAUGUCCAUGUUAACAUUUCCAUGGGCUUCUCAGGUGUUUUCAGGCAUCUUCUCUUGAUGUUUCUGAGGCUGACCUCCCCUCCUGCCUCCCAUCCUUGAGACUUGGCUGGCUCCAGCAUCUCCCCAGCCCACCACGACACCUCUGCAGCAACGGAGUGAAGGAGAGUGAAAUCCCUCCUUUACCAAGACAGGCCUCUGGCGGUUGAACCAUGAUGAAACUGUUCUCUGCAAGUCUUUAACAUGGUACAUGAAGGUCUAAAGGAGCAAGUUGAGGAUCUACAAAAUCAAGCAAGGAGACAAAGGUGGUGGACUGCUGAGCUGUCCUGCUGGGACUACUGGGACUCCGUGGUGACCGACUGCUCAGUGCGGUAAGGAAUGCUGGAUCUGCUUCAAUAUGUAUUUUUAAUUGGGUUGAAGGGAAACAAGAUCAGCCCUUCACUUUUUUAAAUAUGGGAGGCAUUCAUU